CGGGAUGAGCUGUGCCUAGGGGUGAAAGGCCAAUCAAAUCUGCUGAUAGCUGGUUCUCCGCGAAAUCUAUUUAGGUAGAGCGUCACGAUUAGACUCUGGGGGGUAGAGCACUGAAUGGGCUAGGGGUCCUCACCGGAUUACCAAACCUUCUCAAACUCCGAAUACCCAGAAGUUAUGCGUGGCAGACACACGGCGGGUGCUAA
This 203-nucleotide ribosomal RNA is filed under the name Dolichomastix tenuilepis. Its description in RNAcentral is "partial Bacterial large subunit ribosomal RNA". It matches the Rfam family "Bacterial large subunit ribosomal RNA", at positions 800 to 1001 of the family's 2925-position model. Lineage: Eukaryota; Viridiplantae; Chlorophyta; Mamiellophyceae; Dolichomastigales; Dolichomastigaceae. The record is from RNAcentral.